GACGAACGCUGGCGGCGUGCUUAACACAUGCAAGUCGAACGGAAAGGCCCUGCUUUUGUGGGGUGCUCGAGUGGCGAACGGGUGAGUAACACGUGAGUAACCUGCCCUUGACUUUGGGAUAACUUCAGGAAACUGGGGCUAAUACCGGAUAGGAGCUCCUGCUGCAUGGUGGGGGUUGGAAAGUUUCGGCGGUUGGGGAUGGACUCGCGGCUUAUCAGCUUGUUGGUGGGGUAGUGGCUUACCAAGGCUUUGACGGGUAGCCGGCCUGAGAGGGUGACCGGCCACAUUGGGACUGAGGUACGGCCCAGACUCCUACGGGAGGCAGCAGUGGGAAAUAUUGCACAAUGGGCGGAAGCCUGAUGCAGCAACGCCGCGUGCGGGAUGACGGCCUUCGGGUUGUAAACCGCUUUCGCCUGUGACGAAGCGUGAGUGACGGUAAUGGGUAAAGAAGCACCGGCUAACUACGUG
Molecule: ribosomal RNA, 468 nt
Filed under: uncultured bacterium
Lineage: Bacteria
Description: partial 16S ribosomal RNA
Rfam family: Bacterial small subunit ribosomal RNA
Source: RNAcentral